GGUCUGUGAUGAAUAGUAAAAGGUCUGAUUAUCCAGGACUUGCACUUCCAUGACCAUUUCUCCCAGCAGUUUCUCACCAGUCACAAUACAGUAAUGGUGUGGCUGGAAGAGUGUUUGCUGACAGUUUGUGAUGUAUUCAGUUCAUGUUAACGUGAAGCAUUAGAGGCAUGACUGAGCUCAGCAUCCAACAAUCUUAACCUGAAGGAGUUUGGGGUCUUGGAUUGUUAUAACUGGACAUGUGAUCUGACUUCUCUGCUGAGACC
This 263-nucleotide small nucleolar RNA is filed under the name Dryobates pubescens (Downy woodpecker). RNAcentral's name for it is "Picoides pubescens (downy woodpecker) Small Cajal body specific RNA 6". It matches the Rfam family "Small Cajal body specific RNA 6". From Rfam's summary of the family: U88 is small Cajal body specific RNA (scaRNA). scaRNAs are a novel class of small nuclear RNAs which localise to the Cajal bodies. The record is from Rfam by way of RNAcentral. Lineage: Eukaryota; Metazoa; Chordata; Aves; Piciformes; Picidae.